Non-coding RNA from Pelobates cultripes (western spadefoot toad), 216 nucleotides. The record is from the annotation of a GenBank genome assembly. NCBI's taxonomy places the organism in Eukaryota, Metazoa, Chordata, Amphibia, Anura, Pelobatidae.
GUGGAGUUGUGGAGUGACAGUCAGGGGAUCAACACCAUUAACCCCCCAUCCCCUGUGUGUCCCCCAUCACCUGUGUGUCACACCAUUAACCCCCCAUCCCCAGUGUAUAACCCACAUUGCACAACAUUUCCACCCCUAUCCCCAGUAUAUAACCCCCAUUAACCAUUCUGUAUCUAAAGGAUGUACCGAGUGCAUGCGCGGUACACACUUCAGGUU